Molecule: ribosomal RNA, 253 nt
Filed under: uncultured bacterium
Lineage: Bacteria
Description: partial 16S ribosomal RNA
Rfam family: Bacterial small subunit ribosomal RNA
Source: RNAcentral
CACGUACUGUGCGAACGUUAUUCGGAAUCACUGGGCUUAAAGGGUGCGUAGGCGGUUGAUCAAGUCAGAUGUGAAAUGCCUGAGCUCAACUGAGGCACUGCGUUUGAAACUGAUCGACUUGAGUAUUCCAGGGGUAUGCGGAACUGCCAGUGGAGCGGUGAAAUGCGUUGAUAUUGGCAGGAACACCAGUGGCGAAGGCGGCAUACUGGGGGAUAACUGACGCUGAGGCACGAAAGCCAGGGUAGCGAACGGG